CCUACGGGGGGCAGCAGUGAGGAAUAUUGGUCAAUGGGCGGAAGCCUGCACCAGCCAAGUAGCGUGCAGGAUGACGGCCCUACGGGUUGUAAACGGCUGUUAUACGGGAAUAACGCGCCUUACGUGUAGGGCUUUGCAUGUACCGUAUGAAUAAGGACCGGCUAAUUCCGUUCCAGCAGCCGCGGUAAUAAGGAAUGUGCGGCGUUAUUCGGCGUUAUUGGGUUUAAAGGGAGCGUAGGCCGCAUGUCAAGCGUGCUGUGAAAUGUCCGGGCUCAACCCGGGCCUUGCAGCGCGUACUGGCGUGCUUGAGUCCGCGGAAGGCAGGCGGAAUUCGUCGUGUAGCGGUGAAAUGCUUGGAUAUGACGAAGAACCCCGAUUGCGAAGGCAGCUUGCUGCAGCGGAACUGACGCUGAUGCUCGAAAGCGCGGGUAUCGAACAGGAUUAGAUACCCUUGUAGUC
RNAcentral lists this ribosomal RNA (459 nucleotides) under uncultured bacterium. Its description in RNAcentral is "partial 16S ribosomal RNA". It matches the Rfam family "Bacterial small subunit ribosomal RNA", at positions 338 to 795 of the family's 1533-position model. The record is from RNAcentral.